Oncorhynchus keta (chum salmon) is the source of this 1793-nucleotide RNA transcript. It is a transcript of the gene named RNA-binding protein FUS-like, with no coding region annotated. The record is from RefSeq and is a predicted model, not a curated record. The transcript has 16 exons. Lineage: Eukaryota; Metazoa; Chordata; Actinopteri; Salmoniformes; Salmonidae.
AAAGUUGGUUCAUCCCAGCAGUAGGUUAGAGUUCACAAUUGCCGCAGUGUAUGUGCGACUGUGCGCUGCUGUUACCGGGUUUUUAAUUUGUUGAAAAGUGAUUCAUCGAAAAAAAUAAGAAGAAGAACGGAGGAGAAUGGCCUCUGAUUCGGGCUACGGUCAGCCUGGCGCUCAAAGCUAUGGAUCUUAUCCUCCGGCUCAGCAGAGUGGGCCGGGCUACAGUCAAGGAAAUGGAAGUGGCUCAUAUGGCGGACAGAGUUAUGCUGGCUAUGGACAGUCUGCUGAGGGUUAUGGCCAAACACAGGCAGCAAGCUAUGGCCAGCCGGCCUAUGAUGUCUAUGGGCAACAAGGUUCGGAUUCCGCUGCUGGUGGUGCUGACAAGUCGUCAUACAGUCAGCCAAGUUCGUAUGGCGGCACCGCCGGUGGUGGCUCUUAUGGACAAUCUCAAGGAGGCUACAAAGGUCGAAGUGAAGGUGAAGGCGGUCAGGGCAGGAGGUAUGGUGGAGAUGAUGGGAGCUCAGACAGGGGCUCUUCUGACGGGUAUAGAGGCCGAGGGCGUGGUGGGUACGAGCGCGGGAUACGACAGGGGUGGAAGAGGCGGCCCUCCAUCCGGUAUGGGAGGUGGUGACCGUGGUGGCUACAAAAAUUUCGGUGGUCCUCGAGACUACGGCUCAAGGGAUGAACCAACUGGAGGUAGCGGUGGUAGCCAAGGUAGCGGCAGCGGUGGGGAGCAGGACAACUCUGACAACAACACCAUCUUUGUCCAGGGACUGGGAGAAGAUGUCACAAGUGAUGAAGUGGGCAACUACUUCAAACAGAUUGGGAUUAUUAAGUUGAACAAGAAGACUGGCCUGCCCAUGAUUAACCUGUACUCUGACAAAGCUACUGGAAGACUGAAAGGAGAGGCCACGGUCUCAUUUGAUGAUCCACCUUCCGCCAAAGCAGCCAUUGAGUGGUUUGACGGCAAAGAAUUCCAAGGGAAACCCCUCAAAGUGUCUUUUGCCACCCGAAGAGCUGAGUUCACGCAGAGGGGUGGUGGUGCAGGAGGAGGAAGAGGUGGCGGAGGAGGUUUUGGAGGCCGUGGUCGUGGACGUGGGUUUGGAGGAGGUGGAGGUGGUGGUGGUGGUGGUGGACCCAACUUUGACAUUAAGGGAGGGGACUGGCCAUGUCCUAACAGUUCUUGUGGCAACAUGAACUUUGCGCGACGAUACGAAUGCAACAAGUGUGGCACACCGAAACCAGGGGACAGUGGAGGAGAUCGUGGUGGUGGCGGCAGAGGAGGGUAUGGUGGUGACAGGGGUGGUGGCUACAGAGGCCGUGGGGGAUUCCGUGGAGGUGACCGCGGUGGUUAUGGCGGAGGUGGAUAUGGUGGUGACAGGGGCUACAAGAUGGGAGGAAGAGGUGACCAUAGAGAAGACAGAAGAGACCGGCCAUACUAAGGAUUCACGUGGACACCAUUCCAGCCCAGGGGGAAGGGGGGUUGAUAUACACUUUGAUUUGCAUUCCUUUCAUUACCAAUGCAUCACAUGUACUGCUUCUGAUCUGUCUUGUCGGGAGGUCAGGGUAAAGAUGUGCAACUACUGUGAAAGGACUUUUGGGCUGAUAGGCAGGGUUGUUGAAGUGGGCAGGGUCAAAUGUCAUGUCUUUUUGUUUAUUUUCAUUUCCCCGAUUCUAAGUCCAGGUAUUGUGAGGUAGACUUCCAAGACUUCGUAUCAUUGUUUUGUAAAAUUGAAAUGAACUGUUUUACUUGGGUUUCUCUUUUUUCCAAAUGAUAUUAAACUGUUCUGAUCUUA